Sander lucioperca (pikeperch) is the source of this 145-nucleotide long non-coding RNA. RefSeq lists it as uncharacterized. Lineage: Eukaryota; Metazoa; Chordata; Actinopteri; Perciformes; Percidae. The transcript is spliced from 3 exons. The record is from RefSeq and is a predicted model, not a curated record.
GACACUUCAAAAAAUGGAGUGUUACCUUUCCAAUGAUGUCAGGCACACCCGAGUGUCAAAGUAUAUGGGAGCUGUACCACUUUUAAUUUGGGUAUGACGUUUAAACCAAAAAGCAUGGAAUUCCAAGCGUUUCUUAAGAGGUUAA